RNAcentral lists this transfer RNA (73 nucleotides) under Canis lupus familiaris (dog). It matches the Rfam family "tRNA". Rfam says of the family: Transfer RNA (tRNA) molecules are approximately 80 nucleotides in length. Their secondary structure includes four short double-helical elements and three loops (D, anti-codon, and T loops). Lineage: Eukaryota; Metazoa; Chordata; Mammalia; Carnivora; Canidae. The record is from Rfam by way of RNAcentral.
ACCGGGCUGGCUCAGUUGGUGGAGCAUGUGACUCAUGAUCUCUGAGUUGUGAGUUCAAGUCCCACGCUGGGGG